CUGUAAGCCGUUGAAGGUGUCCUGUGAGGGGUGCUGGAGGUAUCAGAAGUGCGAAUGCUGACAUAAGUAACGAUAAAGCGGGUGAAAAGCCCGCUCGCCGGAAGACCAAGGGUUCCUGUCCAACGUUAAUCGGGGCAGGGUGAGUCGACCCCUAAGGCGAGGCCGAAAGGCGUAGUCGAUGGGAAACAGGUUAAUAUUCCUGUACUUGGUGUUACUGCGAAGGGGGGACGGAGAAGGCUAUGUCAGCCGGGCGACGGUUGUCCCGGUUUAAGCAUGUAGGCGGAGGUUCCAGGUAAAUCCGGUACCUUAUUAACGCUGAGGUGUGAUGACGAGGCACUACGGUGCUGAAGUGAUAAAUGCCCUGCUUCCAGGAAAAGCCUCUAAGCAUCAGGUAACACGAAAUCGUACCCCAAACCGACACAGGUGGUCAGGUAGAGAAUACCAAGGCGCUUGAGAGAACUCGGGUGAAGGAACUAGGCAAAAUGGUGCCGUAACUUCGGGAGAAGGCACGCUGAUAGGUAGGUGAAGCCCCUGCGGGCGGAGCUGAAAUCAGUCGAAGAUACCAGCUGGCUGCAACUGUUUAUUAAAAACACAGCACUGUGCAAACACGAAAGUGGACGUAUACGGUGUGACGCCUGCCCGGUGCCGGAAGGUUAAUUGAUGGGGUUAGCGGCAACGCGAAGCUCUUGAUCGAAGCCCCGGUAAACGGCGGCCGUAACUAUAACGGUCCUAAGGUAGCGAAAUUCCUUGUCGGGUAAGUUCCGACCUGCACGAAUGGCGUAAUGAUGGCCAGGCUGUCUCCACCCGAGACUCAGUGAAAUUGAACUCGCUGUGAAGAUGCAGUGUACCCGCGGCAAGACGGAAAGACCCCGUGAACCUUUACUAUAGCUUGACACUGAACACUGGUCCUUGAUGUGUAGGAUAGGUGGGAGGCUUUGAAGCGUGGACGCCAGUCUGCGUGGAGCCAACCUUGAAAUACCACCCUUUAAUGGCUGGUGUUCUAACGUAGACCCGUAAUCCGGGUUGCGGACAGUGUCUGGUGGGUAGUUUGACUGGGGCGGUCUCCUCCCAAAGAGUAACGGAGGAGCACGAAGGUUGGCUAAUCCUGGUCGGACAUCAGGAGGUUAGUGCAAUGGCAUAAGCCAGCUUGACUGCGAGCGUGACGGCGCGAGCAGGUGCGAAAGCAGGUCAUAGUGAUCCGGUGGUUCUGAAUGGAAGGGCCAUCGCUCAACGGAUAAAAGGUACUCCGGGGAUAACAGGCUGAUACCGCCCAAGAGUUCAUAUCGACGGCGGUGUUUGGCACCUCGAUGUCGGCUCAUCACAUCCUGGGGCUGAAGUAGGUCCCAAGGGUAUGGCUGUUCGCCAUUUAAAGUGGUACGCGAGCUGGGUUUAGAACGUCGUGAGACAGUUCGGUCCCUAUCUGCCGUGGGCGCUGGAGAAUUGAGGGGGGCUGCUCCUAGUACGAGAGGACCGGAGUGGACGCAUCACUGGUGUUCGGGUUGUCAUGCCAAUGGCACU
This 1518-nucleotide ribosomal RNA is filed under the name Enterobacter hormaechei. RNAcentral's name for it is "partial 23S ribosomal RNA". It matches the Rfam family "Bacterial large subunit ribosomal RNA", at positions 1241 to 2739 of the family's 2925-position model. Lineage: Bacteria; Pseudomonadati; Pseudomonadota; Gammaproteobacteria; Enterobacterales; Enterobacteriaceae. The record is from RNAcentral.